Molecule: ribosomal RNA, 254 nt
Filed under: uncultured bacterium
Lineage: Bacteria
Description: partial 16S ribosomal RNA
Rfam family: Bacterial small subunit ribosomal RNA
Source: RNAcentral
UACGAAGGGGGCGAGCGUUGUUCGGAAUUACUGGGCGUAAAGGGCGCGCAGGCGGCCUCUUGAAGUCAGAUGUGAAAGCCCCGGGCUCAACCUGGGAAUGGCCGUUGAAACUGGCGAACUGGAGUGUGGCAGAGGGGGGUGGAAUUCCGCGUGUAGCAGUGAAAUGCGUAGAGAUGCGGAGGAACACCGAUGGCGAAGGCAGCCCCCUGGGCUGACACUGACGCUCAGGCACGAAAGCGUGGGGAGCAAACAGG